RNAcentral lists this ribosomal RNA (478 nucleotides) under uncultured bacterium. RNAcentral's name for it is "partial 16S ribosomal RNA". It matches the Rfam family "Bacterial small subunit ribosomal RNA", at positions 28 to 507 of the family's 1533-position model. The record is from RNAcentral.
GAUGAACGCUGGCGGCGUGCUUAACACAUGCAAGUCGAACGAGAAGUGGAGACGGAAACCUUCGGGCGGAAGACUUUAUUUCGAGUGGCGGACGGGUGAGUAACGCGUGGGUAACCUGCCUCAUACAGGGGGAUAACAGUUGGAAACGACUGUUAAUACCGCAUAAGACCACAGCACCGCAUGGUGCGGGGGUAAAAACUCCGGUGGUAUGAGAUGGACCCGCGUUCGAUUAGCCAGUUGACGGGGUAACGGCCCACCAAAGCGACGAUCGAUAGCCGAUCUGAGAGGAUGACCGGCCACAUUGGGACUGAGACACGGCCCAAACUCCUACGGGAGGCAGCAGUGGGGAAUAUUGCACAAUGGGGGAAACCCUGAUGCAGCGACGCCGCGUGAGUGAAGAAGUAUUUCGGUAUGUAAAGCUCUAUCAGCAGGGAAGAAAAUGACGGUACCUGAGGAAGAAGCCCCGGCUAACUACGUG